AUGCAUAGUGUUCAGGCACCAAGGAAGAGAACCAAUGGCAGAAGUCACACAUGCAAGCAAGAUGGGAGUCUGGAGAGCCUCAGGCUAAAUCACCAGUGCUCAGCCCUCUUCUCUUUCCCCAGUAGGGGCCUUGCCUCUCCAGUGUACCCGGCUUUUGAAGGACCUUGUCUCCAUGUUUCCAUUGUUGAUGGAAGGACCGUGGCAGGACUUUGCUUUCCAGUGCCACUAUUAUGUCAGCAGGCUAGCCCUGAACCCCACAUGUCAGAUUCACUGAAUCCCAAGACAAGGAGCUCUUUGAUAAUGGGCUAGAGGAAAGUGUGAAAGAAUGGUUUAGAACUAAUUCAAGAAAGAACAAUCUGAUUCCCACUUGGAGGAGGACGCAGGAGCUGAAUCAGAUGGGGCUGUGGUGCCUGGGGAGGAGGAAAUUGUGAGUACUUGCUCUUGAUUGAGUAUCAUUAUCCUCCUGUUGUCUAGGAAGAUGAUUGUUAUAAUUAGCCACAAAUGUCAUGGGCAACUAUAAUUUACCUUUUCCUGUAACAACUGAUAGUUUACCUUUUCAAUGCCUCCUUUUAUCUUCCCACCAUGGGGCUUUCCCCAUCCCUCCAUAACAA
RNAcentral lists this long non-coding RNA (611 nucleotides) under Macaca mulatta (Rhesus monkey). RNAcentral's name for it is "lncRNA (ENSMMUG00000052477.1)". The record is from RNAcentral. Lineage: Eukaryota; Metazoa; Chordata; Mammalia; Primates; Cercopithecidae.